RNAcentral lists this ribosomal RNA (792 nucleotides) under uncultured bacterium. RNAcentral describes it as "bacterial SSU rRNA". It matches the Rfam family "Bacterial small subunit ribosomal RNA", at positions 8 to 823 of the family's 1533-position model. The record is from RNAcentral.
AGAGUUUGAUCAUGGCUCAGGACGAACGCUGGCGGCGUGCUUAACACAUGCAAGUCGAGCGAGAAACCUUCGGGUUUCUAGCGGCGGACGGGUGAGUAACACGUGGGUAACCUGCCUCAAAGUGGGGGAUAGCCUUCCGAAAGGAAGAUUAAUACCGCAUAACAUUGUAGCUUCGCAUGAAGCAGCAAUUAAAGGAGUAAUCCGCUUUGAGAUGGACCCGCGGCGCAUUAGCUAGUUGGAGAGGUAACGGCUCACCAAGGCGACGAUGCGUAGCCGACCUGAGAGGGUGAUCGGCCACAUUGGAACUGAGACACGGUCCAGACUCCUACGGGAGGCAGCAGUGGGGAAUAUUGCACAAUGGGCGAAAGCCUGAUGCAGCAACGCCGCGUGAGUGAUGAAGGUCUUCGGAUUGUAAAGCUCUGUCUUUUGGGACGAUAAUGACGGUACCAAAGGAGGAAGCCACGGCUAACUACGUGCCAGCAGCCGCGGUAAUACGUAGGUGGCAAGCGUUGUCCGGAAUUACUGGGCGUAAAGGAUGUGUAGGCGGAUAUUUAAGUGAGAUGUGAAAUCCCCGAGCUCAACUUGGGGGCUGCAUUUCAAACUGGGUAUCUAGAGUGCAGGAGAGGAAAGCGGAAUUCCUAGUGUAGCGGUGAAAUGCGUAGAGAUUAGGAAGAACAUCAGUGGCGAGGGCGGCUUUCUGGACUGUAACUGACGCUGAGGCAUGAAAGCGUGGGGAGCAAACAGGAUUAGAUACCCUGGUAGUCCACGCCCGUAACGAUGAGUACUAGGUGU